RNAcentral lists this ribosomal RNA (427 nucleotides) under uncultured bacterium. Its description in RNAcentral is "partial 16S ribosomal RNA". It matches the Rfam family "Bacterial small subunit ribosomal RNA", at positions 355 to 774 of the family's 1533-position model. The record is from RNAcentral.
UGGGGAAUAUUGGACAAUGGGUGAAAGCCUGAUCCAGCCAUGCCGCGUGUGUGAAGAAGGUCUUCGGAUUGUAAAGCACUUUAAGUUGGGAGGAAGGGCAUUAACCUAAUACGUUAGUGUUUUGACGUUACCGACAGAAUAAGCACCGGCUAACUCUGUGCCAGCAGCCGCGGUAAUACAGAGGGUGCAAGCGUUAAUCGGAAUUACUGGGCGUAAAGCGCGCGUAGGUGGUUUGUUAAUUUGGAUGUGAAAUCCCCGGGCUCAACCUGGGAACUGCAUUCAAAACUGACUGACUAGAGUAUGGUAGAGGGUGGUGGAAUUUCCUGUGUAGCGGUGAAAUGCGUAGAUAUAGGAAGGAACACCAGUGGCGAAGGCGACCACCUGGACUAAUACUGACACUGAGGUGCGAAAGCGUGGGGAGCAAACA